Molecule: ribosomal RNA, 253 nt
Filed under: uncultured bacterium
Lineage: Bacteria
Description: partial 16S ribosomal RNA
Rfam family: Bacterial small subunit ribosomal RNA
Source: RNAcentral
UACGGGGGGGGCAAGCGUUGUUCGGAAUUACUGGGCGUAAAGGGCGUGUAGGUGGCCAACUAAGUCCGACGUGAAAUCCCCCGGCUUAACCUGGGAACUGCGUCUGAUACUGGAAGGCUUGAGUGCGGGAGAGGGAUGUGGAAUUCCAGGUGUAGCGGUGAAAUGCGUAGAUAUCUGGAGGAACACCGGUGGCGAAGGCGGCAUCCUGGACCGACACUGACGCUGAGGCGCGAAAGCUAGGGUAGCAAACGGG